RNAcentral lists this small RNA (627 nucleotides) under Arabidopsis thaliana (thale cress). Its description in RNAcentral is "ATSL050920". Lineage: Eukaryota; Viridiplantae; Streptophyta; Magnoliopsida; Brassicales; Brassicaceae. The record is from RNAcentral.
AAUUAAACUAUAAAAUAUAAAUGUAUUAGAGAAUGGCAAAACUUUUAUAUAUAACAAAUAAUUCUUAAAUUUUAAAAAUUACUACUUUAAAAAAAAAUCACGGGACGGGUAAAGAAACUAUAGAACGGGUUUUAUUUUGGAAUUGGGUUAUAUGGUGGAUGUAUUUGAAUCAAUAUUUAUAAAAUUUUAAAAUAUUAUUAAUAGGCUGUUUUAACAGGGGUUAAAACUUCAGUUUUUUAACAAUUGUCUCAUGGAUACGUGGUAUAGUGUUACUUAAUAACAAUUAUAAACUGUAAAAUAUAAAUAUUUUAUAAAAAUAAAAUUUGCAAGUUUUAAUAUAUAUUACUUUUAGAGUAAAUCGUCUCGCGGUAUACCGCGGGCUAAAAUCUAGUAUACAUAUAUUAUGCUUCUUGGGUUCAAGCUUACCAAAUCUUACUAACGCAUUUGACAUUAUAGCCACAAUAUAAAUUAUCCUACUAUAUUAUUUGGGAAGUACAUUUUAAAUGUAACCUUAAUUUUUGUAAGUAAUUACAUAGGUAUGCCAUUAGAAAUAAAAUUUUAAAGAGUAAAUUAAUUUAUCUCUUUAAGGAUUAAAAAGUCAAAUACUAAUUUAAAUAAUUAAAAUUA